Non-coding RNA from Drosophila virilis, 5530 nucleotides. Lineage: Eukaryota; Metazoa; Arthropoda; Insecta; Diptera; Drosophilidae. The record is from RefSeq and is a predicted model, not a curated record.
ACAAUAUACCCACACAUUUUUAAUGGCUUCAGGGUAUAAAAAGUUAAGUUUUGAUUUGACAAACUUCGCUCGUUUUUUUUUGAAGAAAGCUUAACCAAAGUCUUCUGCUAGUUUGAAGUGCAUCAAUUUAUAGGACAUCCGAUUGACGACCGCAAGGCUAUUCAAAUUGUGGCCUACGCCAGAUAGCUGUUCUUUCUGGUUCCGCAACGUAAUCGGUUUGACCCCUUGCCGUUAAGUAGUAGGUGCCGGUACAGGUCGGCUAAUGCGCCCAUUUAUUAUCUAUUGAUCGGGUGCAUGCUUAGGUUGGCAAAUUCGUCGGCGAUUAUGAAUUCACUUUCCAAAAUUCGCCAGCAUCCGCGCAGCGCUAACUUUCGAUUUAAGCAAAACGCGUGCUUUAGGCCGCCCAGACCCGAAAAACUCAACUGAAACCGAAGUUGGCUACAAAAGCGAAAGGUGCCGCCGCAGAGCGUUGUUUAUGAUAAUAGUGUCGGGGGCAGGAGGGCAAGGAGGAUGUGUAGGGAACGACAAGACUGACAACAAGUUGCACGUACUUGAGGCAGCGUGAAAGGGAAAAGAAAGUCGCACUAGGAAAAACUUACUUGAAAUCCGCAAAUAAAUGUCACGAAUAAACUUGAACACCGGGCAGAAGCAAGAGCUGAUGCAACAAUUGUCGCCAGGGGAUAGUAAACGGAAAAGACAGCUCCGGGGGAAAAACCCGUGUGGAAAAUCUGCUUAGCGGGCAAUGAAAACGAGCGAGCGAAAUAAUCGAAAAACAACAAAGAAAAACGCUGCAGUCGGGUAGUCGACCACGUAAUACUCUGUUCGCAAUCAAGCUAUCGAUAGCUGACUCUAAAACUGUAACCAGUCAGUGGCUUUUCAACUGUGACAAGAAUAUUCUUUAUAAAUAUUUUAAAUAGUAAAUAGUAAUACAUAAAUAGUUAAAUAGUUGUAGAGCUAACAAAUAACGUCUGUGCUUCGUAUAUGUAAAUGCUCUUAAAAUUUGAGCAAAAUCGGACAAUAAACGCCGAAGAGAGUUAAAAAAGCUCGUCACAUCUGCGCUGGCUACAGGGUGUUUUCUAGUGGGGCAUACCUAACAAAAUCAGUUUUUUCUUGUUAUUUACUUUAAAAGGUUACACAAAUAAAAUAACUGUAAUAGCGUAUAUUAUGAGCGCAUAGAUACAUUUUCGUUUGUUUGAGUAUUUUCAUAUUGCACUCGUCCUUCUCGAAUAGUUGAGAUCAAUUCGAAAUUGGAAUUUCGCAAGUUAUUCAAAGAGUUGCAAUGCUUGACACUCAAAAAGAUACACACAUAUACAGACACUCACACACACAGCUGAACGUAUCCAUGUGCAGAGCUCGGCCGACGGAUUGAGUUCGCUCAGUCGAUCGCUGCAGCUAUGAGCAAGAUUGAGAGAUCUGAGUCGUGGCUGCGACGCUUUGCUGAGUGCUUGCGUUUCUAAGCCGACGCUCUUAUACAUUAGCGCUCUUCCACUCUUAUACUGUGGCGAUAUUUGAGUGGUGGUAAGAGGUCUGCAGCUUCUAACUGGCAAACUGCUGACUGUGCAGCGUUUCGAGUGUGUUGAACCUGUGGCAGAGCUCUUCGUCGCAAUUCCAAUUGAAAACUGGAAUUGGUUUAACUGGAAACAUUGGUAUGCGAAUUUCGGAAUGCCGGAACGGUCCAUGGAAGUUUGCCAAGAGCUACAACAGCAACGAUAAACAAGUAAGAGUGCUUUAGGCAACACUGCACGACGUGCAGAUACCUUGUACCCAGCUCCGAAUAUUUUCAAUACACAUACAUACAUACAUAUAUACAUAUGUAUUGGUACACACACUCUUUAUUCUUUGGGCAGCGGUUGUGCUCUUUUGCCGUCAGCUUCUCACAUUGAAAAAUGCAUUCAUGAAUAACCUCUUAUUUUAUUGUGCGAUUCUUAUUAUAUUAUUGGGGCUAUGCCUUUUCGUCCUGAUGUGUCUAUGCACAUACAUAUAUACAUAUUCAUACAUACAUAAAUGGAAGGUGUGCUUAAUGAAGUCGGAGAUAUCUGCCUGGCAAAAAAUACAUUUGCGCAAUACCCAUUUUAUGGAUUUAGGGUAUAAAAACAAGACAAAAUAAUUGAGCACUUGAUCAGCGGGAGCAACAACAUUACGAUCAAGAUUGAAGAAGAAUGUGGAAGAGAGGGUCAGACAGUAAAAGAGACAAAAAAGGCGGAGAGAGGAAAAGAGCGAGGCAGUGAGGCGAACGCAAACGAAAAAUUAAAAUAAUAUAAACACACACACACACACACACACACACACUUAAGUACAAUCAUGUGAUGUAUGUAUGUAUGCAUGUAUGUGUAUCCAGUUGCUUGCAUGCAAGAUACAAAGGCAUAAAUAAAAGACUGAACAGUUACACCGAAGAGUAAAUACCUUUGCUGACAUGUACACUAUGUAUGUAUGUACAUGCACAUGCUCCAAUGACGCUAUUGUGAGAAGUCAGUAGAUUGUUUUUAUCGAUUUUGGUGAAGAGUUCGAGAACAGUUAUUUCUUCAUGAGCUGAAAAGGUCGGUUGUAUUGUGAUACUCACUGCAAGGGUAUUUGAAAUUAACUUUGUCGAGAGAGAGAGAGAGACACGCUAGUUGCAUGUAAUGGAGGAGACAAAGAGAUAAAAGCAAUUUGGGAGAGACAUUUUUUUUAAGGAGAGAGAAUGGUGGUCUGGAUGUUUGCAAUGUUGUUCCUACUGUUAUUUCUUUGAUUCCAGUGAGCACUCGACGAGUCGAUUUACAGCAGCACAUGCAUACAUACACACCGGGUCUCACGCAUACACACUCACACACACACGCCAGGCAACACGAUCAAGUGGUUUCCAAAUCGCACGAGGUUGAGUGAGUUCCAAACAAGUAAUGAAAGCAAAGCACUGGAAAAAUAAUGAUUGGGUCUGUGAAGAAACACAUUCAAAGUAAGUCGGGAGCAAAAACUCUGCUUGGAAAUAAUUCAGCUCGUGAAAGGCAAAAAUAUCGAUUUAAAGACAUUUUAAAUGUUGUGACUUUUUUAUACUCUGUUGACAGAGCUUAAAACGAGUCUAUGCGCUUUGAACAAUGUCCGUCCACAGACUGCAUGUUUGGAACUCAUACUCGUGUGAUUCCCCAUCGGAUCUAGUGUUAAGCUAAAUAAGCUUUUAGGAAAUAUUCACGAAAUUGUUUUCUACUUUCUGCUUUUUGGCCUUUUUCAAAGAUUACAAUUACAUUUUUGGUAAAACAGAGUGUUUCUGUGUUUUUACUACUACAUUUUUGAAUCCGGGCAUAGCCGGGUAAUAUGUAAAUAUGUAUCUUCAAUGCACGAAGUAUUUAGAAGAAUAUUGCCUUGAAAAUCCAGUUACAAAGUCAACUGUAGACUUAAUUCAGACAAGGCUUACGUGUUAUUAAGAUGAAAGACAAACGGAAACAUGAUAUAUUUGCUCUGAGAGGGACAUUUCGGUUUCCUGCCGUGUCGACCAUAAUUAUGUAGGGGCAGAUGCAGCUCAUGACAACUCGGCGAGACUCCGAUUAAAGAUUGUAACUGUGAUUCGACAUUGGCAGGAACUGCAGACUGCGAAAAUGCUUCGUUUUCUUUCGAGCAGCUUCGUUUUGUUCGCCUCACUGUGACAGUGUCUUUUUAGCUGCAUCUGGUGAAAGUUGCACAUGCCACAAACGGCUGGUUUUCAAGGUCUUUCCGUAGGUGUCAAGCCCAGAGAAGGGAACUGUGGCGCAACCGAGUCGCUGGCGUAGACAGUUUCUCGAGACGGCGGCUAGUAAUGUUACCUGGGCCUGUGCUGGAGAAUCUUCGAAAUGGGCACGUUAAUUAAUGCAACUGAUUCCAUUGAGGGAUUGCUUAACUUAACAAUAUUUGGCAGAACGAGCGAAGCUUUCCAAAAAGUGAAAUAUAUAUUGUGUGUACUCAUUUGUCAUUUUUCAUUUGAUGUCAAAUUUACCGAAUUGACCGAAAAAUUGCAUAAUGAUCGGACUAUAAGAACCGAAGGAAGAGACUAUCAGAAUGGAAGGAAGCUGGAAUGCUGGUAACGAAAUAAGAAGCAGCAAGCAAUCAGUUCCAGUUUUUUUCCAUCUUCUGUCCAAGUAACUUGACCUCGAAAAGUAUUAACUAAGCUGAGCCGAACGGCGUCCUGGAAACGUCAGAAGCUUAUCACUUGAAAUAUUCAUAAUAAUAUCACAUGACAGAUGCACCUGGGAAGUAUGGCCAGUUACCAUAUAUCUGCAUGGGGAUCCCUUGCAUAUCUGUGAAGGGGAUCCCUUCGAUUGAUGGUCAUUCAACUCGGUGUCGAGGAGGCUUUACGCCUUUUUUUUGUUUUGUGAUUCGUCUCUGGCUUCUCUCCAGAUGCAGCUACAGCUGCAUCGGAUUCAUAGCCUGAUUGGCCUCCGUUUAGGUUGUAUUUAUACCUGAUGAGCAUCGGCUCCCAGUUGCCAGUUGCACUCUCUUUGUAUGUGGCCCAAGGCGGAUUUAGCCAUAUUUAUACACGUUCCUGUUUUGCUUAUAUUUUCUUGUAUGUCGCCGUCAACUUCUACGCUCCGCUCCAUUGCGGGUAGUCAACAUUUUCUUCAUUUCGUUCGUUUUGUACCCGUUGUACCCAUUACACAUGCGGCAAUCGGGUAUGCUCAAUUUUAAAAACUCAAGAACCGACUGUAUAGAAAAUACAAUUUACUUUGUACUUGGAGUUGAUUUAGGGUAUUACCAACUUACCAAUACCUUUUCCUAUGGCUUACAUUUUAAGUUUUCCAACUAAGUUUUAUUCAAAAUAAGCACAGAAGUUAUUUAUGAAUCAGUUUUUCCUAGAGUUGCAGUAAAGGAAAAACAUCUCAGAUUACAUAAGUUAAUGUUAUGCUAUUGCGUAGCUGAUUGCAGGGUAUUUAUUAGUCGGGCAGCGCUGGAGAGCACUCUUACUUGUUUUGACUGUUGUUAUAAUUGUUGGACUGUAAAACAUUGGCUCUGAUAUGCGCACUUUCUCCUUUAAUACUUUUUGCUCUGCUAACAUUGUGCUCGUCGUCAUCCGCCGAGCCUGAUCCGUGAACAGCAGCAGUCGCUUUAGUCUCCGCCUUCGUCUCCAUCGCCCUCUCCGUCUCCGUCUCCAACGUCGUCUUUAAGGUGCGAGUAUCUGUGACUCCAACUGCUAAUUUGCGGCUUUCCUCAAGUCUCAAGCACUUGCUUCCGUGUGUCAUUCAUCAGCCACCCGCACUGCUCAGUCACUUGUUUGAUUUUUCUAUACUCUGUGUGGCUUUCUUUUUUUUUUUGUGGUUUUUCUUUUGACGUAUAAUUUUCCAGGCGGCUGGGAAAUUCGGUGCUGAUUGGCGCUUUUCAGUUUCGCAAAUCUAACGAUUUAUACAAACUACAAUAAAAGCAAGCAGAUACCCUGUACUCGACGCUGGCUCUUCUUUUGUGCUGCAACAAAAUGACAAGAUCAGACCAAGUUUUAUUUAUAAAUUCUUUUUUAACUGAAAGUUCUUGACUCUUAAAUUUAAUAAGUUUCAAAUAAAACUGUAUCUGAAACAAUAAUUCGAUAACUUAA